GGGGGCGACAGGCUUCGACGCGGUCGGUUCGCGGGGGUGAUUGCGAGCCGAGGUGGGGGAGGCCUCGUUAAACACCCCCACAACACACACAUGCGGACUCUCACGAGUACGCCCUCGCUGCCUAGCACACACUAGGUAGGUGAGGUAUCGGGCCUCGCUCGCCGGCGGCGGGGGUUCCCGGUAUCAACUCAGCCGGAUCACCUUGCGCGGACGCCCUCGUCGCGCCGGGGACAUCUCAGGAGGGCUGGCGCUUCGGACGUGGGUCGACGGGACCGACGGAGCGUGAGACCCAGAUACGCCGACUACGCUCGUAGACGUCGCCCUUGGCGCGGUCGCGGACGCGGGUUCAACUCCCGCCGUCUCCACCU
This 368-nucleotide transfer-messenger RNA is filed under the name Patulibacter sp. It matches the Rfam family "transfer-messenger RNA". From Rfam's summary of the family: Bacterial tmRNA, also known as 10Sa RNA or SsrA, is named for its dual tRNA and mRNA-like properties. Its role is to liberate the mRNA from a stalled ribosome. Lineage: Bacteria; Bacillati; Actinomycetota; Thermoleophilia; Solirubrobacterales; Patulibacteraceae. The record is from RNAcentral.